GUUGUUGGGUAGGGGAGCGUUCUGUAAGCCUGUGAAGGUGUGUCGUGAGGCAUGCUGGAGGUAUCAGAAGUGCGAAUGCUGACAUAAGUAACGAUAAAGCGGGUGAAAAGCCCGCUCGCCGGAAGACCAAGGGUUCCUGUCCAACGUUAAUCGGGGCAGGGUGAGUCGACCCCUAAGGCGAGGCCGAAAGGCGUAGUCGAUGGGAAACGGGUUAAUAUUCCCGUACUUGGUGUUACUGCGAAGGGGGGACGGAGAAGGCUAUGUUGGCCGGGCGACGGUUGUCCCGGUUUAAGCGUGUAGGUGUGUGUUCCAGGUAAAUCCGGUUCACUUUAACACUGAGGCGUGACGACGAGGCACUACGGUGCUGAAGCAACAAAUGCCCUGCUUCCAGGAAAAGCCUCUAAGCAUCAGGUAACAUCAAAUCGUACCCCAAACCGACACAGGUGGUCAGGUAGAGAAUACCAAGGCGCUUGAGAGAACUCGGGUGAAGGAACUAGGCAAAAUGGUGCCGUAACUUCGGGAGAAGGCACGCUGACACGUAGGUGAAGUGAUUUACUCAUGGAGCUGAAGUCAGUCGAAGAUACCAGCUGGCUGCAACUGUUUAUUAAAAACACAGCACUGUGCAAACACGAAAGUGGACGUAUACGGUGUGACGCCUGCCCGGUGCCGGAAGGUUAAUUGAUGGGGUCAGCGCAAGCGAAGCUCCUGAUCGAAGCCCCGGUAAACGGCGGCCGUAACUAUAACGGUCCUAAGGUAGCGAAAUUCCUUGUCGGGUAAGUUCCGACCUGCACGAAUGGCGUAAUGAUGGCCAGGCUGUCUCCACCCGAGACUCAGUGAAAUUGAACUCGCUGUGAAGAUGCAGUGUACCCGCGGCAAGACGGAAAGACCCCGUGAACCUUUACUAUAGCUUGACACUGAACAUUGAGCCUUGAUGUGUAG
RNAcentral lists this ribosomal RNA (939 nucleotides) under Salmonella enterica. RNAcentral's name for it is "partial 23S ribosomal RNA". It matches the Rfam family "Bacterial large subunit ribosomal RNA", at positions 1220 to 2141 of the family's 2925-position model. Lineage: Bacteria; Pseudomonadati; Pseudomonadota; Gammaproteobacteria; Enterobacterales; Enterobacteriaceae. The record is from RNAcentral. RNAcentral also lists the same sequence under 1 other name.